GCAGUUUAAUUCAUUCCUUCAUUCAACAAACACUGCAUUCCAGUCUGUGCUAGGCUCUGCACUAAGAACUAGGGAUCCAGAUACGAUCUUUAUCCUGAAGUCACUGUCACAGUCUUGUGGAACAAAAGAACUUUAAUUUUCAUGAAGAAAAACAAUGAAAAGUAGCUGUGCCAGGUGUGAAGGAGCGGUAGCCAUGUCAAGGUCCACACAUUUACAAAGUGAACCAUCCGGAGGGGUCUCCAAGAGAGCAUUGGCCUGAGCUGCACUACGAAGGGAGGUUAAGACUUAGACAAAAAUUGGAGCAGGGUGGUCCCUGGUAGAAUAAAAUUACGAGCAAAGUCCGAGAAAAAGACUGAGACAUUCAAGGAAACACUGGCUGGGGCAGCAGGUGAGAAGAUUUGUAGAAGAAAAUAGAAAUUCACCAAACAUUGAUGAGUUUACGGAAUGAAUUGAAGGGACGAGCAACCAGAGUCAGAAACACCAGUGACUGGCCAUGGUGCAGAUGCUCAAACAUAAAGCUGCAAAAAGAAGUGCCUUGGCCAGGAGCAGUGGCUCACACCUGUAAUCCCAGCACUUUAGGAGGCCGAGGAGGGCGGAUCACCUGAGGUCGGGAGUUCGAGACCAGCCUGACCAACAUGGAGAAACCCCAAGUCUUUAUUUAAAAUACAAAAUUAGCUGGGCGUGGCAGCGCAUGCCUGUAAUCCCAGUUACUCUGGAGGCUGAGGCAGCAAAAUCGCUUGAACCUGGGAGGCGGAGGUUGCCGUGAGCUGAGAUCGCGCCAUUGCACUCUGGCCUGAGCAACAAGAGUGAAACUCCGUCUCAAAAAAAAAAAAAAAAAAAAAAAAAAAAAAAAAGGAGAAGGAGAAGAACUUUUCACCCCCAGCCAUCAUUCUGAGGCCUCCCCAGCCAUGUGAAACUGUGGAGGAAGGCCACAGGUGAGAGCCUCCCGUCUUGGAUCGUGGCUAUCAGCGCCCCGAGACGCAAGGAAACUACACUCAGAGGAUUUGCCCCACCCUGAGAGGGGCGCGGUGGCGACCUGCGCAAGGUUCUCUUCUAAGGUGGGUUCCAAUCAACUCAAAGUGUGUUGAACCUCCAGCAUUCCAAGGACUUGGCUUCCUCCAUUUGCAGAAAGUCCAGUGAUCCAGGUCUUGGAGCGUGCACCCUUCGAUAGCUCAGCUGGUAGAGCGGAGGACUGUAGCAGAGAAGUUUGUGGACAUCCUUAGGUCGCUGGUUCGAUUCCGGCUCGAAGGAGGUGCCUAAUACUUUUGCACACAAUGCCACCUGGUGCCUGGUCAAACACUCUGCAGCCUCCAACUAGUAUCCACCCACACUCUCCCAGUCAAAACCCAGAGAAACCUUUCCUGAUCACCCGGUUUCCACACCUGUGCUGUGGCCAGGAAACAUUCCCGCAAGCCCACUCAUUCUUCCCACAGUCCAGGGACAGGUACUCUUCAACGCAAAGCGCCCCUUGCUUCUGCUUUGUGACCCAGUUGGCCCCUCUCCCCAAGCCCCUUUGCACCCCCACCAUCCAGAGCUCUUUCACUUUUAUCCACAGACUGCUCUGGGUGCUGAGGGCCAACAACUCUAGCAACACUGUGUGCUCACCGUUGAUAGAUCUCUUGAUCUAUUAAACUAGUGGGUCCACCAUCAAGUCCCAGAAGGUCAAGCCUGCUGGAAGAGAAAAGGGUCAGAGACAACUGUGACAUCCUCAGAAAAAUAAAUAAAUAACUUGCUCUCUAUGCUCUCUCA
Long non-coding RNA from Macaca mulatta (Rhesus monkey), 1749 nucleotides. Lineage: Eukaryota; Metazoa; Chordata; Mammalia; Primates; Cercopithecidae. The record is from Ensembl.